This 406-nucleotide ribosomal RNA is filed under the name uncultured bacterium. RNAcentral describes it as "partial 16S ribosomal RNA". It matches the Rfam family "Bacterial small subunit ribosomal RNA", at positions 29 to 526 of the family's 1533-position model. The record is from RNAcentral.
AUUGAACGCUGGCGGCAGGCCUAACACAUGCAAGUCGAGCGAGCGGCGGACGGGUGAGUAAUGUCUGGGAAACUGCCUGAUGGAGGGGGAUAACUACUGGAAACGGUAGCUAAUACCGCAUACCCUCAGAUGUGCCCAGAUGGGAUUAGCUAGUAGGUGGGGUAACGGCUCACCUGGGCGCCGAUCCCUAGCUGGUCUGAGAGGAUGACCAGCCACACUGGAACGGAGACACGGUCCAGACUCCUACGUGAGGCAGCAGGGGGGAAUAUUGCACAAUGGGCGCAAGCCUGAUGCAGCCAUGCCGCGUGUGUGAAGAAGGCCUUCGGGUUGUAAAGCACUUGCAGCGGGGAGGCGUUACCCGCAGAAGAAGCACCGGCUAACUCCGUGCCAGCCGCCGCGGUAAUGC